AAACAAAUGGAAAGAAAAGAAAACAUAUAAUCAUGCUGAAAAAGCUUUUUGACAAAAUCCAAAACAUAUUCUUGUUACAAGUCUUGGAGAGAUCAAAGUUACAAGGUGGCUACCUAAACAUACUAAAAGCAAUAUACAGCAAGCCAAUAGCCAACAUUAAAUUAAAUGUAGAGAAACCUAAAGCAAUUUCACUAAAUUCAGGUACAAGAAAAGGAUGACCACUAUCUCUGUAUCUAUUCAAGUUAGUACUUGAAAUUCUACCUAGAACAAUAAGCCAACUAAAGGAGGUCAAGGGGAUACAUAUUAGAAAGGAGGAAAUCAAAGUCUCACUAUUUGUAGAUGAUAUGAUAAUAUACAUGAGUGACCCCAGAAAUUCAACUAGAGAACUGUUUCGGCUGAUAAACACUUUCAGUCAUGCGGCUAGAUAUAAAAUUAACUCAAAAAGUCACACUGCACAAAACCCAAGUUCAAGUGAAUCAAAUACCUCAACAUUUAAAUGGACACACUAAAUCUAAUAGAAGAGAAUGUGGGGAACUACCUUGAACCCAUUGGCACAGGAGACAAAAUUGUGACCAGAACAUCAAUAGCAUAGGCAGUAAGAUCAAUAAUAAAUGGGACCUCCUGAAACUGAAAAGCUUUUGCAAGCCUAAGGACACCAUCAAGAGGACAAAAUGGCAGCCUAGAAAUGAUAAAUGGUCUGAAGAGGAAUUUAGGGAAACAGCAUCCUAUAUAAUAGCCACAAAUAAUGAAAAGUAUAUUGGCAAAACUCUAACCCAGCAAGUGAAAACUUUUAUGACAACAACUUCAGGUUUUUGAAGAAAGAGAUUAAAGAAGAUAUCAGAAGAUGGAAUGAUCUCCCAUACUCAUGGAUCAGUAGGAUUAGCAUAGUAAAAACAGCCAUCAUACUCAAAGCAAUCUACAGAUUCAAUGCAAUUCACAUUUAAAUUCCCACACACUUCUUUAGAGACAUUGAAAUAGGAAUUCUCAACUUCAUAUGAAAAAACAAAAUCCAAGGAUAGCUAAAAAAUCCUGUAUGAUAAAAGAAAUUCUGGAGGUGUCACCAUUUCUGAUUUUAAGCUGUACAAAAGAGCAAAAGUAAUAAAACCUGCAUGGUAUUGACAUCAAGACAGCUUGAUCAGUGGAAUAGAAUUGAAGACCCAGAAAUAAACCCACACAUCUAUAAACAGUUGAGUUUUGAUAAAGAAGCCAAAACUCUACAGUGGAAAAAUGAAAGCAUCUUCAACAAAUGGUGUUGGUUUAACUGGAUGUCUGCAUGUAGAAGAAUACAAAUAUGUUCAUAUCUAUUAUCUUGCACAAAACUUAAGUCCAGGUGGAUUAAAAACCUCAACAUACAAAUGAACACACUAAAUCUAAUAGAGGAAAAUGUGGGGAACUGCCUUGAACCCAUGGCCACAGGGUGCAAAUUCCUGACAAGAAUACGAAUAGCUCAGGCACUAAGAUCAACAAUUAAUAAAUAGGACCUCAUGAAACUGAAAGGCUAAGUACACCAUUUAUAGGACAAAAUGGUAGCCUGCAAUAUGGGAAAAGAUCUUCAUCAACCCUACAUCUGACAGAAGGAUAAUAUCCAAAAUAUAUACAGAACUCAAGAAAUUAGACAAAGCAAGCAACCCAAUUAAAAAAAUGGGCUACAGAGAUAAACAGAGAAUUCUCAACAGAGCAAUCUCUAAUAGCCAAGAAGCACUUAAGGAAAUAUUCAACAUCCUUAGACCUCAGGAAAAUGCAAGUCAAAACUACUCUGAGAUUCCAUCUUAAACUUGUCAGAAUGGAUAAGACCAAAGCCUCAAGUGACAGUGCAUGUUGACAAGGGUGUAGAGAAAGCAGAACACUCCUCCAUUCUGGUGGGAGUGAAAACUUGUACAACUGUUGUGGAUAGCCCUGGGGCUAAAUUCUCCUGUGAGUGAUUGUGAACAAGGAAUGAGUCAGUACUCAGGUGAUUUCCUGUAAACCUGUUUCCCACCUUCGUAAAAUAAAGGAGAGCUGAUGAUUGGGCAGAUAAAAGGGAAGAUAGAGC
This 2032-nucleotide long non-coding RNA is filed under the name Mus musculus (house mouse). Its description in RNAcentral is "long non-coding RNA chr1:5403546-5405578". Lineage: Eukaryota; Metazoa; Chordata; Mammalia; Rodentia; Muridae. The record is from RNAcentral.